CCUACGGGAGGCUGCAGUGAGGAAUAUUGGUCAAUGGGCGCGAGCCUGAACCAGCCAAGCAGCGUGAAGGAUGACUGUCCUACGGGUUGUAAACUUCUUUUAUAAAGGAAUAAAGUGAGGCACGUGUGCCUUUCUGUAUGUACUUUAUGAAUAAGGAUCGGCUAACUCCGUGCCAGCAGCCGCGGUAAUACGGAGGAUCCGAGCGUUAUCCGGAUUUAUUGGGUUUAAAGGGAGCGGAGAUGGGUUGUUAAGUCAGGUGUGAAAGGUUGGGGCUCAACCGUAACAUUGCCAUUAAUACUGGCAGCCUUGAGUACAGUUGAGGUAGGCGGAAUUCGUAGUGUAGCGGUGAAAUGCUUAGAUAUCGCGAAGAACUCCGAUUGCGAAGGCAGCCUACUGGACUGCAACUGACGUUGAUGCACGAAAGUGUGGGUAUCGAACAGGAUUAGAUACCCGUGUAGUC
RNAcentral lists this ribosomal RNA (460 nucleotides) under uncultured bacterium. Its description in RNAcentral is "partial 16S ribosomal RNA". It matches the Rfam family "Bacterial small subunit ribosomal RNA", at positions 338 to 795 of the family's 1533-position model. The record is from RNAcentral.